CCUACGGGUGGCUGCAGUGAGGAAUCUUCGUCAAUGGCCGAGAGGCUGAACCAGCAAAGUCGCGUGAGUAAGACGGCCCUACUGGUUGUCAACCUCUUUUGUCGGGGAGCAAAGAGAGUCACGUGUGACUCAUUGAGAGUACCCGAAGAAAAAGCAUCGGCUAACUCCGUGCCAGCAGCCGCGGUAAUACGGAGGAGGCGAGGGUUAUCCGGAUUUAUUGGGUUUAAAGGGUGCGCAGGUGGAGGUGCAAGUCAGCGGUAAAAUUUCGGGGCUCAACCCCGUACUGCCGUUGAAAUUGUAUCCCUUGAGUGCGCGAGAAGUAUGCGGAAUGCGUGGUGUAGCGGUGAAAUGCAUAGAUAGCACGCAGAACUCCAGUUGCGAAGGCAGCAUACCGGCGCGCAACUGACGCUCAUGCACGAAAGCGUGGGUAUCGAACAGGAUUAGAUACCCCUGUAGUC
RNAcentral lists this ribosomal RNA (458 nucleotides) under uncultured bacterium. Its description in RNAcentral is "partial 16S ribosomal RNA". It matches the Rfam family "Bacterial small subunit ribosomal RNA", at positions 338 to 795 of the family's 1533-position model. The record is from RNAcentral.